Molecule: ribosomal RNA, 468 nt
Filed under: uncultured bacterium
Lineage: Bacteria
Description: partial 16S ribosomal RNA
Rfam family: Bacterial small subunit ribosomal RNA
Source: RNAcentral
GACGAACGCUGGCGGCGUGCUUAACACAUGCAAGUCGAACGGAAAGACCCUGCUUUUGUGGGGUGCUCGAGUGGCGAACGGGUGAGUAACACGUGAGUAACCUGCCCUUGACUUUGGGAUAACUUCAGGAAACUGGGGCUAAUACCGGAUAGGAGCUCCUGCUGCAUGGUGGGGGUUGGAAAGUUUCGGCGGUUGGGGAUGGACUCGCGGCUUAUCAGCUUGUUGGUGGGGUAGUGGCUUACCAAGGCUUUGACGGGUAGCCGGCCUGAGAGGGUGACCGGCCACAUUGGGACUGGGAUACGGCCCAGACUCCUACGGGAGGCAGCAGUGGGGUAUAUUGAACAAUGGGCGGAAGCCUGAUGCAGCAACGCCGCGUGCGGGAUGACGGCCUUCGGGUUGUAAACCGCUUUCGCCUGUGACGAAGCGUGAGUGACGGUAAUGGGUAAAGAAGCACCGGCUAACUACGUG